UAACCUCUAAUAUACUAAUCGUUAGUGCGGACGGGUGAGUAACACGUUGGAACUGCCCAAAGUAAGGGAUAAGCCACCGAAAGGGUGGUCUAAUACCUUAUAGUAUCCAUCUCGUAUGGAUUAAAGCUUUAUGCGCUUUGGGAGGGGCCUGCGUUUGAUUAGCUAGUUGGUGAGGUAAAAGCUCACCAAGGCGACGAUCAAUAGCUGGUUUGAGAGGAUGACCAGCCACACUGGGACUGAGAUACGGCCCAGACUCCUACGGGAGGCAGCAGUAAGGAAUCUUCCACAAUGGGGCAACCCUGAUGGAGCAAUACCGCGUGCAGGAUGAAGCGUUUCGGCGUGUAAACUGCUUUUAUCACCGAAGAUUAUGACUGUAGGUGAAGAAUAAGGACCGGCUAACUACGUG
RNAcentral lists this ribosomal RNA (406 nucleotides) under uncultured bacterium. RNAcentral describes it as "bacterial SSU rRNA". It matches the Rfam family "Bacterial small subunit ribosomal RNA", at positions 67 to 507 of the family's 1533-position model. The record is from RNAcentral.